UAAAAGAUUGUAGGAAGAAA
RNAcentral lists this non-coding RNA (20 nucleotides) under Drosophila melanogaster (fruit fly). Lineage: Eukaryota; Metazoa; Arthropoda; Insecta; Diptera; Drosophilidae. The record is from RNAcentral.